Molecule: ribosomal RNA, 492 nt
Filed under: uncultured bacterium
Lineage: Bacteria
Description: partial 16S ribosomal RNA
Rfam family: Bacterial small subunit ribosomal RNA
Source: RNAcentral
AGUGAACGCUGGCGGUAGGCCUAACACAUGCAAGUCGAACGGCAGCACAGUAAGAGCUUGCUCUUACGGGUGGCGAGUGGCGGACGGGUGCGGAAUACAUCGGAAUCUACUUUUUCGUGGGGGCUAACGUAGGGAAACUUACGCCAAUACCGCAUACGACCUACGGGGGAAAGCAGGGGAUCUUCGGACCUCGCGCGAGCGUAUGAGCCGAUGGCGGGUUAGCGAGUUGGCGGGGUAAAGGCCCACCAAGGCGACGAUCCGUAGCUGGUCUGUGAGGAUGAUCAGCCACACUGGAACUGAGACACGGUCCAGACUCCUACGGGAGGCAGCAGUGGGGAAUAUUGGACAAUGGGCGCAAGCCUGAUCCAGCCAUACCGCGUGUGUGAAGAAGGCCUUCGGGUUGUAAAGCCCUUUUGUUGGGAAAGAAAAGCAGCAGGUUAAUACCCCGCUGUUCUGACGGUACCCAAAGAAUAAGCACCGGCUAACUUCGUG